CUAUCAUCACCAAAGCAAAAUAAAAACCCUAAUUCCUACCUCUCCCCCUCUCUGUCAGCCGCGAACACUGUCGUAGAGAACGAAAAUGCCGUUCAAGAGGUACGUUGAGAUCGGGAGAGUGGCUCUAGUUAACUACGGUAAAGACUACGGCAAGUUGGUUGUCAUCGUUGAUGUCGUUGACCAGAACAGAGCACUUGUUGAUGCCCCGGAUAUGGUUCGAGGCCAAAUGAACUUCAAGAGGCUUAAACUGACCUUUAUCACAAUUGACAUUCCCCGUGUUCCGAAGAAGAAGACACUGAUUGACAUUCCCCGGA
Hibiscus syriacus is the source of this 314-nucleotide long non-coding RNA. RefSeq lists it as uncharacterized. The record is from RefSeq and is a predicted model, not a curated record. Lineage: Eukaryota; Viridiplantae; Streptophyta; Magnoliopsida; Malvales; Malvaceae. The transcript has 3 exons.